UAUACUGUAUAUUGACAGUAUGUUAUAGCUCUGAUAUUUGUAAAUAAGUGCAUCGGAUAUCUACCGCAUUCUCCAUACACCAUAGUAUUCGUCGUAUUGGAUUUAACACGAAGAAAUCUUUUAC
This is a long non-coding RNA of Haliotis rubra (blacklip abalone), 124 nucleotides long. RefSeq lists it as uncharacterized. The record is from RefSeq and is a predicted model, not a curated record. Lineage: Eukaryota; Metazoa; Mollusca; Gastropoda; Lepetellida; Haliotidae. The transcript is spliced from 3 exons.